UAAUACGUAGGGUCCGAGCGUUGUCCGGAGUUACUGGGCGUAAAGGGCGCGCAGGCGGCGGCGUGGGCCCGGCGUGAAAGCCCCCGGCUCAACCGGGGAGGGUCGUCGGGGACCGCGCCGCUUGAGGGCGGCAGGGGCCGGUGGAAUGCCUGGUGUAGUGGUGAAAUGCGUAGAGAUCAGGCGGAACACCCGGGGCGAAGGCGGCCGGCUGGGCCGUCCCUGACGCUGAGGCGCGAAGGCGUGGGGAGCGAACGGGAUUAGAUACCCCGGUAGUCCACGCAGUAAACGAUGCCGACUGGGCGUGGGGGGAGUUGACCCCCUCCGUGCCGGAGCCAACGCGGGAAGUCGGCCGCCUGGGGAGUACGGCCGCAAGGCUA
Molecule: ribosomal RNA, 377 nt
Filed under: uncultured bacterium
Lineage: Bacteria
Description: bacterial SSU rRNA
Rfam family: Bacterial small subunit ribosomal RNA
Source: RNAcentral